RNAcentral lists this long non-coding RNA (382 nucleotides) under Anser brachyrhynchus (Pink-footed goose). RNAcentral describes it as "lncRNA (ENSABRG00000012776.1)". The record is from RNAcentral. Lineage: Eukaryota; Metazoa; Chordata; Aves; Anseriformes; Anatidae.
AAGCUUGAAGGUUUCCAGGACAUCACUCAAACCUGAGCAUGGACAUACAUAGUUAUACUUAUGGGAGCUGAGAGGAUUAAAGCCUAGGAACUGUCACACUGAAAUACAGACCUGGACUGCCUUGAGUAAAAAAAGAACUCCGUUAACUGACAACUCCAUCACCCCAUCAGACAGUGUGGCAGGGACAUUUCCCCUUCACCCUUUUGCAGGAUGCUGUAUCACCUUCAGACCCAAGGAACAUCACUAAUAAUGCGUGCUAAUUCUGUUCCAUCUUCUGAGAGACACUGUCUCACCGACAUUAAAUCGGAGAGUUACACUAACAGCACCAAUUGUAAACUGACUAGGUCACUGCAAUAUUUGUUAUAUGCUCUUGAGAACCUCA